Cygnus atratus (black swan) is the source of this 3105-nucleotide long non-coding RNA. RefSeq lists it as uncharacterized. Lineage: Eukaryota; Metazoa; Chordata; Aves; Anseriformes; Anatidae. The record is from RefSeq and is a predicted model, not a curated record. The transcript is spliced from 2 exons.
GCGCGGCCAUUUGCAGGCACCGCCGGGCGGGCGCCGCCGGCAGCUCCGGGCAGCCGCGCUCCGUCCCCGCUCCCUCUCUCGUCUCCUCUCUCCCCUCUCCUCUCCUGUCCGCUCUUCUCCCCCUUCUCCCGCUCCGCCUGCCCGUUCCGCAAUGAUGAGGCAGGCCCCGGCCGCACGGAAGAAUGCCCCCAGCAGCACCGCGCGCGUUGGGACCCCUGGGAAAGCAGCCGGGAUGGAGCUCGCCGGUGUCACGCUGCACGGGCGGUGAUGGGGGCGACGCCAACAGGUGGGCUCUGGCCCAGCGCUCCCUGGAAGAGGCUCGGCUCCUCCAUCGCCGGGCGAUCGCUGGGAAGGGCAGUGCUUCCAUGCAGCAGGAGCUGCACGCUGACCUCGGCCGCCCACUGCCAGAAGCCUCCCAGGGACAACGCGGGAGAUCUCUGUGGCAGGGCCUGUGGUGCGGGGAGAGCUCUGCUCCGCUGCGCCUGAACCCUGUGAGCCGUGUCCAGCAGAAGACCUCGGCGAGGCGGUACAGGCCCUGCCCGGUGCGAGGAGAUAACACAGGCGUGCUCGUCCGGAGGGCAAAGCUGCGGCACGCUCGGGAUGGUGCCGGCACUCGGUGCUCUUGGCUGGCUCUGGGCUGUGACUCUCGUGCUCCGAGUGGAACCGACUGGGCAGCACCCCGGGACCUGCCAUCCGCAGCCUCACAUCACGCGUGGGUGACGCCGGCUGCUGCCGUGGGCAGUUGGAGGUAGCCGGGAGUUUCGCCGGGCUGGAUGCGGGGUUUGGAUACGAGUGAGUCUGCCUCGAGCCCCGGGUGCUGCUCUUGCUCCUGAGUGUGGGGCUGCCCAGGGAGCGAAGGGUGUGUAAUAGCAUCAUCGAGUGUUUAUGCAGCAACAUUAUGCAGCAGAGUUCAGAACCACCAAAUAAAAUAUUAAUAGCCACGAUGGGCCGGUGCAGAGCAUCCUGGCAUCCGGGAGGUCACAAAGUAUCCGCAUUAAGCGACGGUGUGGGGAGCCAGUUCUGGAGCCUGGCAGAAGCUCAAGGGCCUGAGACCCGCUCCCGAGCAGGGCUUCCUCGAUGGUCCCGCGGUGGGAAGUGCUCUGUCGGGGGUGUCGUGCUGCCUCCCUUGCUCUUGGAUGCUCUUUGCUGCGUGGCGAGCGGGCAGUGAGAGCUGGAACCUAACUGAUCGUAAUGGCUGGGAAGGAGGAGCCAGCAUCCCAGCCCGGGCAUCGCUCUGCAAGCUGCUUACAAGUGCUUUGGAGACCACAGAUGGUGAAUUGCUGCCUGAAAGCUAACCCCAGCUGCUCCCUGAGGAGGCGCGAGGGUCUUGCCUUUAUUCCAGGUGGCCUUCGCACUCAGCCCCAGGGGCUCCCCAGCGCCUUCGGACCCCUCCAGGCAGGGAGCACUUCUGCCUUCGCAGCGCUGGUUCGGAGGAGCGGGGCGUGCUGCGGACAGGCAGGUGGCGGGGACAGGCGCCGCAGCGGGAGCCUGGCCGCCCUCCCGAGCAGCAGACCUCUCUGACCUCCCCUCAGCAAGGGGCAUUCGCCCGGUGCAUCGCAGAUCUGACGCUUCGGCUCUUGAUAGCGGCAUGGCAUUGCGUGGUCUGGAGCCAAAACAACCUUCCGUGUUACGCUAGGCCGUGCUGGGAGAGGAGGCAUGAGACCAGGAUUGCUCUCUGUCGUUUAACGUGGCGGGCUUUUAAAGGCCAUCACCAGGAGGUCUCUGCCGUUCUUCAAUAUUCGCUUUGCAGUGGGGAAGGUGCUCUGCUUCUGCCCGCCCCCGUGGACCUGGAGCCGCCAGGCGAGGGCUGAGCGAUGCGAGCGGGAUCAGCGGUCGCUUGUGUGGCGUUCCUGCUGGUGCUGCAGGGUCCUGGGGGGGGCUUUCAGAUCUCCGUGUGGAUUUCUAGCGUCACGCCACGUAACCUUCAGUUAGCAGGGCUUUCCGCAGAAGUCCUACUCUGGAAAAGCUUGGGCUACUGCUCCAAAGUCAGCGUGGUGUUUAUCAGAGAGUCUUAAGCUUUUGCUGUUUUUGUUACGUUUUCCCAGAUAGCUUUGCAAAUUGGCAGAUCUGGGAGAUGUGCAUCUUCCCCUCUGUGCUGACGUGGGCCUGCUGUUGAGUGCAGCCUUUUAGAAAACUGGAAUCGAGCGGAGUAGGGUUUCGCCUGAGCAAUCCAAUUGUUGAUUAGCUAUUUUGAAGCGGCAAUCUGUCCAGUUCUAGUCUAUAUACAAAAAGAAAAGAAAAGCAAGAUCUCCUGGCUGGCUUUUCCAGGCCCUCCAUGGAAGGCUGAGCGUUGCUCCUGAGCAUCAGCGGAGCACUGGUCAGCGCGGCCGUGCUGCUGGAGGGAGGGCCGGGAGGAGCCGCGGUGCGGGGCUGGGCUGCAGCGCCCGAGCGUUUGCGAAGGGGCCGAGCGCCUUGUUCGUGUCUGCAGCCUCGCGUCCUGGCGCCUGGCUGCGCUUCUUGCUGCUCUCUGCUCUUGGUUACUUCUCGCGCUGGGUUAGGUAACGGUGAGAGACACAAGAGAGAUAAGAGGUGAAGCAGCACGCGGAAAGCUUCAAACGCUCUCCAGUGCUGCUGUCCAGGCGUCGGAGCUGCUGCAGGGUGCAGGUGCCCGGUUUUGGUGGCUUCAGCGUCCCGCCGCGUGCGGCGCCGUCCAGCUCUCCCCACUGCGGGCUGGUGGAAGAGCGCUGCCGGCCGCUGCUGCAGCGGUCACGGCGCAGCGUUUGUUAACGGGACAGUCCGUGCCGACGUGUGACUGCCCUGCAGGGCGUGCCGAGCCGCGCGGCGUGAGAUCACUGCGCAGGUGACGGCUGUUCUGCUGCCGUGUUGUGUCCCAGACAGCGUGUGUGUUGGGGGCAGGGGGUCCUGCCUUGAAGCUUACAGGUGUAUUUGUUUCCAGAAAUGAGACGACAACACGUAGUGUUUGAGAAGAAGCUUCACGAGAUGUUACGCCUACAAAUCUUACAACUAAAGAGCAGCAGAGCCCGGGGGCUCUGGCAUCUCUGUGGGCAGCUGGUUUGGCGAUGCUCUAGGGCCUUCAGAAACAAAGGGUGGGAGGGAGGAAAUUGUUUUUUCUAUGUUUCUUGUAAUAAAAAAGUCAAUCUCACA